This 111-nucleotide ribosomal RNA is filed under the name Flavobacteriaceae bacterium. The record is from RNAcentral. Lineage: Bacteria; Pseudomonadati; Bacteroidota; Flavobacteriia; Flavobacteriales; Flavobacteriaceae.
UUGGGUGGUUACAGCAUUGGUGUUCACCUCUUACCAUUUCGAACAGAGAAGUUAAGACCAAUAGCGCAGAUGGUACUACCAAUUUGGUGGGAGAGUAUGUCGCUGCCCAUC